RNAcentral lists this ribosomal RNA (945 nucleotides) under uncultured Neocallimastigales. Its description in RNAcentral is "partial large subunit ribosomal RNA". It matches the Rfam family "Eukaryotic large subunit ribosomal RNA", at positions 22 to 643 of the family's 3401-position model. Lineage: Eukaryota; Fungi; Neocallimastigomycota; Neocallimastigomycetes; Neocallimastigales. The record is from RNAcentral.
UAGAUGCGAGAGUAGAGCAUAUCAAUAAGCGGAGGAAAAGAAACUAACAAGGAUUCCCUUAGUAACGGCGAGUGAAGCGGGAAGAGCUCAAAUUUGAAAUCUUCAAGGUUCUACCUUGACGAAUUGUAGUUUAUAGAAGUGUUUUCUGUUAGUAGAGUGGCAAAAGUUCUUUGGAAUAGGGACAUCAUAGAGGGUGAGAAUCCCGUAUUUGGUCAUUCUUCUAGCGUUGUGAUACACUUUCAACGAGUCGGAUUGUUUGGGAAUGCAGUCCAAAAUGGGUGGUAAAUUUCAUCUAAAGCUAAAUAUUGGCGAGAGACCGAUAGCGAACAAGUACCGUGAGGGAAAGAUGAAAAGAACUUUGAAAAGAGAGUUAAACAGUACGUGAAAUUGUCAAAAGGGAAGCGUUUGACACCAGUGUUGUUUUUCCGAAAAUCAAUUACGAAUGUUUUAGUUUUUGAGGAGUUAUGACUUCAUCGGCUUGCUCCUUUCUUUAUGAAACUUUCUUAAUGCACUUUUCGGUUAACAAGUCAACAUCAAUUUCUUUUGUUGUAAAAGGGUAUGAGGAAGGUGGCUUUCUUUUCGGAGAAAGUGUUUAUAGCCUUGUGCCUCUGCAAUCGGAGAGAUUGAGGUCUGCAGCGUAGAUCCUUCGGGGUUAGAUACGUUUGUGCUAAGUUAUAGCUUUUCAUAGACAACUUGUUCGACUAUGUUUAGUCUUGUAGCUUACUCGCUGACGCUAUUUUACCUACGCUUAGGAUGUUGACACACGCGCGUGCUCGGCUCUAUACAUGACUCUGCGCAUAUCAAUAAGCGGAGGAAAAGGAGUAUACCUACGCUUAGGAUGUUGACACACGCGCGUGCUCGAUCUAUACAUAACUCUGCGCAUAUCAAUAAGCGGAGGAAAAGGAGUAUACCUACGCUUAGGAUGUUGACACACGCGCGUGCUCG